CCUACGGGAGGCAGCAGUAGGGAAUCUUCCACAAUGGACGAAAGUCUGAUGGAGCAACGCCGCGUGAGUGAUGAAGGUUUUCGGAUCGUAAAACUCUGUUGUAAGGGAAGAACAAGUACGAGAGGGAAUGCUCGUACCUUGACGGUACCUUGCGAGAAAGCCACGGCUAACUACGUGCCAGCAGCCGCGGUAAUACGUAGGUGGCAAGCGUUGUCCGGAAUUAUUGGGCGUAAAGCGCGCGCAGGCGGCCUUUUAAGUCUGAUGUGAAAGCCCCCGGCUCAACCGGGGAGGGUCAUUGGAAACUGGAAGGCUUGAGUACAGAAGAGAAGAGUGGAAUUCCAUGUGUAGCGGUGAAAUGCGUAGAGAUGUGGAGGAACACCAGUGGCGAAGGCGACUCUUUGGUCUGUAACUGACGCUGAGGCGCGAAAGCGUGGGGAGCAAACAGGAUUAGAUACCCUGGUAGUCCACGCCGUAAACGAUGAGUGCUAGGUGUUGGGGGUUUCCGCCCGUCAGUGCUGAAGCUAACGCAUUAAGCACUCCGCCUGGGGAGUACGGCCGCAAGGCUGAACUCAAAGAGUAGUAGGACGUGNGAGAGCGACGACGACGACGACGGAGGGAGG
Molecule: ribosomal RNA, 620 nt
Filed under: uncultured bacterium
Lineage: Bacteria
Description: bacterial SSU rRNA
Rfam family: Bacterial small subunit ribosomal RNA
Source: RNAcentral